UACGUAGGGACCAAGCGUUGUUCGGAUUUACUGGGCGUAAAGGGCGCGUAGGCGGCGCGGUAAGUCACUUGUGAAAUCUCUGAGCUUAACUCAGAACGGCCAAGUGAUACUGCAGUGCUAGAGUGUGGAAGGGGCAAUCGGAAAUUCUUGGUGUAGCGGUGAAAUGCGUAGAUAUCGGGAGGAACACCAAUGGCGAAGGCAGCUCGCUGGGACGGUACUGACGCUGAGACGCGAAAGCGUGGGGAGCAAACAGG
Molecule: ribosomal RNA, 254 nt
Filed under: uncultured bacterium
Lineage: Bacteria
Description: partial 16S ribosomal RNA
Rfam family: Bacterial small subunit ribosomal RNA
Source: RNAcentral